UAAUACGAAGGGGGCUAGCGUUGCUCGGAAUUACUGGGCGUAAAGGGCGCGUAGGCGGACAGUUAAGUUGGGGGUGAAAGCCCGGGGCUCAACCUCGGAAUUGCCUUCAAUACUGGCUGUCUUGAGUACGGGAGAGGUGUGUGGAACUCCGAGUGUAGAGGUGAAAUUCGUAGAUAUUCGGAAGAACACCAGUGGCGAAGGCGACACACUGGCCCGUUACUGACGCUGAGGCGCGAAAGCGUGGGGAGCAAACAGGAUUAGAUACCCUGGUAGUCCACGCCGUAAACGAUGAGUGCUAGUUGUCGGCAUGCAUGCAUGUCGGUGACGCAGCUAACGCAUUAAGCACUCCGCCUGGGGAGUACGGUCGCAAGAUUA
This 375-nucleotide ribosomal RNA is filed under the name uncultured bacterium. RNAcentral describes it as "bacterial SSU rRNA". It matches the Rfam family "Bacterial small subunit ribosomal RNA", at positions 521 to 896 of the family's 1533-position model. The record is from RNAcentral.